UACAGAGGUCCCAAGCGUUGUUCGGAUUUAUUGGGCGUAAAGGGAGCGUAGGCGGCGAGGUAAGUCAGGUGUUAAAAUUCGAAGCUCAACUUCGAAGCGCAUUUGAUACUGCUUUGCUCGAGGAGUGGAGAGGAGACAGGAAUUCACGGUGUAGCAGUGAAAUGCGUAGAUAUCGUGAGGAAGACCCAUGGCGAAAGCAUGUCUCUGGAAACUACCUGACGCUGAUGCUCGAAGGCCAGGGGAGCAAACGGG
Molecule: ribosomal RNA, 252 nt
Filed under: uncultured bacterium
Lineage: Bacteria
Description: partial 16S ribosomal RNA
Rfam family: Bacterial small subunit ribosomal RNA
Source: RNAcentral